This 2138-nucleotide long non-coding RNA is filed under the name Olea europaea (common olive). RNAcentral's name for it is "long non-coding RNA (OEUR_LNC001435)". Lineage: Eukaryota; Viridiplantae; Streptophyta; Magnoliopsida; Lamiales; Oleaceae. The record is from RNAcentral.
GAAGCUGCUCAAUCGUGCGCAGUUAUCCUGGAUAUUGUUGAGUCUUCAUUGCCAGCAGGCUUGCCUGAAAACAUUGGUGGUGACUGUAAAUUGCAGGAAACAAUAAACAAGGCUGUAGAGCUGCUUCCAGGAUUAUGGAAACUUGCUGAUCAUCCUAGUGAAGCUAUUUUGUCUUACCGUCGGGCCCUUCUACAUCAAUGGAACCUUGAUGCACAAAUUACGGCUAAGAUACAAAAAGAGUUUGCCAUUUUUCUUCUCUAUAGUGGAGUUGAAGCAAAUCCCCCAAGUCUGCAAUCCCAAAUGGACAGUUCUUUUGUACCUAAAAACAAUACUGAGGAAGCUACUCUUCUUUUGAUAAUUCUUUUAAGGAAAGUUACCCUCAAGAGAAUUGAGUGGGAUCCAUCAAUUUUGGAUCACCUUUGCUAUGCAUUAUCUAUAUCAGGUGGAUUAAGGGCUNGUUUUGAAGAUUUGUGGGAGGGCUGAAACGGUAUGAGGAAUGAGAAUCGUAUUAAAGAAAGGAGGAGGGAUCGGAUUAGUAUUGAGUUGGGAAAGAUAAUGCAGUGUCUAUGCUCAGGGGAACAGUUACUUGGAGAAGAAAUGGUCCCUUCUUCUGAAUCUCUCGCAACAAAGGAUUAUACACACAGUGUUUAUUCAUCUCAAGCCGAAGAAGCUGAACGGAAACCUGACACUGGCAAUAUUGAAGAAGCUGAAUCAUCAUUACGAGAAAGUGGUUCUUUAAAUUAUGAGGUUGUCUCUCUAAUUCUUCUUAUGCUGAAAUCCUUUUGAUGUUUCUUUUAUCCGUAUCUUUGGUUGAAUUUUCACUCAUUUCAAUUUGAUUUUGCUUUACUUUCUCAUCCAUAUAUCGAAUGCUGUUUUUUUACUAAUCUUUCUAUCAUCAGAGUUAAAAUACGAGUAUCUUGGCUAGCUGAGUCUUUGAGUAAGAGCAUGUUUUGCUGUGCUUAAAAUUUCUCUAGAAAUUAAGUUAAAGAUUUUCUAGGAAAGUAAGUGUUGUCUGUAAAAAUCAUGCUUGUCAAAUAAGUAAUUUAAAAGUAAGUUUGACUUACUUUUAAGCAUUAGCAAAUAUGCCCCAAGAAUUGGUGCUUCGACGAAAUGGCAGCUUGUUUAUUUACUAUACCUAUGACUAAGAAAUCAUUAUUUCAGGAAGCCAGAGCGUUGUUAGGAAGGUAUGAGUAUCAGAAAGGGAACCUAGAAGCGGCCUUACACGUGUUUGAAGGGAUAGACAUUGCUGCAGUGACUCCAAAGAUGAAAACUGCGCUUUCUAUAAGAGGAGAAACUCGUAAAAGGCGGUCACAAAAGUUUGCACCACCACCAAUGUCAAUUCAUGCUGUUAGCUUGCUGUUUGAAGCAAUGCUCCUAAAAUCAAAAUCACUACAAGCAUUUGGGAGGUAUAAAGGUAGCUCGCGUGCUAAUUGGUGAAUCAUCCUUUUGUUAUCUGCAAAUAGAAUCGCCUUAUUUAAAAGUUUAAGAUCUUGGAGAGGGGACAAAUUUAAUAUUCAUCUUCAACAGUAUCGUAUGGAUUCAUGCAGUUUUAGAUUUUUAUUAUAUUCUCCUUUUUCCUUUAUUGUAAUCACCUAAAUAAUUUGAAUUAUUUAGAUAUAUAAAAAUUCUUUGGUGCUUAUCAGACUUAUUAUUGUCUUUUUUUUUAAGUAUCAAAUGUAAUAUUUCGUGCAGAGUAUUUCCAUUAUUAAUGGUAAUGAUUGUUACAGCCAUCUAUAUAAAAAUCAUCUGAAAAUUCUCUUAGCAUUUUAAUGAUGUCUAACUGCUGUUUGUAGUUAACAAGAUAUCAACAUCCUAAUUUUCGGAAGUUCCAAUAUUUGCAUUUCUUGCUACUGCUCUCUCUCCUCCUCCCCCCCCCCUCUCUGACUGUAAAUUGCAGGAAACAAUAAACAAGGCUGUAGAGCUGCUUCCAGGAUUAUGGAAACUUGCUGAUCAUCCGAGUGAAGCUAUUUUGUCUUACCGUCGGGCCCUUCUACAUCAAUGGAACCUUGAUGCACAAAUUACGGCUAAGAUACAAAAAGAGUUUGCCAUUUUUCUUCUCUAUAGUGGAGUUGAAGCAAAUCCCCCAAGUCUGCAAUCCCAAAUGGACAGUUCUUUUGUCCCUAAAAACAAUACUGAGG